CGCGUAGGCGGCUUGGCAAGUCAGAUGUGAAAUCCCCGAGCUUAACUCGGGAAUUGCAUCUGAAACUGCUUUGCUUGAGUCCUGGAGGGGGUAGUGGAAUUCCCAGUGUAGCGGUGAAAUGCGUAGAUAUUGGGAGGAACACCGGCGGCGAAGGCGGCUACCUGGACAGUGACUGACGCUGAGGCGCGAAAGCUAGGGGAGCGAACGGGAUUAGAUACCCCGGUAGUCCUAGCCGUAAACGAUGGGCACUUGGUGUUGGGGGUAUUGAGUCCCCCGGUGCCGGAGUUAACACGUUAAGUGCCCCGCCUGGGGAGUACGGUCGCAAGACUGAA
Molecule: ribosomal RNA, 332 nt
Filed under: uncultured bacterium
Lineage: Bacteria
Description: bacterial SSU rRNA
Rfam family: Bacterial small subunit ribosomal RNA
Source: RNAcentral